UGGAGGAUAUGACGAUCCUUUCCCCAGAUGAUCGACGAUGAGCAUAAUGUGCGCUAUUGUUCUCUUAAGAGAUAAUCAAGCCAGAACUAUGAUUCUCCA
Molecule: small nucleolar RNA, 99 nt
Filed under: Oryza sativa (Asian cultivated rice)
Lineage: Eukaryota; Viridiplantae; Streptophyta; Magnoliopsida; Poales; Poaceae
Description: Z103f small nucleolar RNA
Rfam family: Small nucleolar RNA Z103
About the family: This family consists of several snoRNA Z103 sequences which are members of the C/D class of snoRNA which contain the C (UGAUGA) and D (CUGA) box motifs. This family seems to be found exclusively in plants. C/D box small nucleolar RNAs are known to act as a methylation guides for 18S ribosomal RNA.
Source: RNAcentral